GAGGGUGGAGCUCAGUGGUAGAGCGCAUGCUUAGCAUGUGCAAGGUCCUGGGUUCUAUCCCCAGUACCUCCA
RNAcentral lists this transfer RNA (72 nucleotides) under Camelus bactrianus (Bactrian camel). It matches the Rfam family "tRNA". From Rfam's summary of the family: Transfer RNA (tRNA) molecules are approximately 80 nucleotides in length. Their secondary structure includes four short double-helical elements and three loops (D, anti-codon, and T loops). Lineage: Eukaryota; Metazoa; Chordata; Mammalia; Artiodactyla; Camelidae. RNAcentral also lists the same sequence under 2 other names. The record is from Rfam by way of RNAcentral.